AAUGAGAUCUUGACCAGUUGGAGUGGCACUGCUGAUAGAGUUGCUGCCUCACAGCUCCAGAGACGCAGCUUCAAUGUUGAUCUCUAGUACUGUCUGUGGGGGAGUGUGCACAUUCUCUCCAGAUACACCAGUACUUGCCACAUCCCAAAGACAUGUUGCUUGGUCGGUUACUUGGUGACCGUAAAUUACCUCUACUGUCUAUGAACAGGAGGAGAAUCGGGAGUUGACAAGCAUGUGGGAGGAAAUAGAUUACGGAGAAUGGGAUUGAUGGAAUUGCUCUAAGAGCUAAUAGAGACUUGAUGGGCCAAAUGGCCUUCUUCUCUGUUUAAAGGAAUUAUGAAACAUAAUAUCAAGAAGCAAUCUAUCUACACUAAGCCAUCUGAAACUCUCUACUCCAAGUGGCUGUAAAUACUGGCACAACUGGAGCUUUAGAGUCUGAUAUUAACGUAUUUUGUUCCGUAGGAUAGCAAAGGAUAUGGAAUCAAACAGUUAAAUGGAAUUGAGAUAAAGAUCAUCCAGAUGCUGAUCGAGUGGACUUGCCAUCAUUUGAAUGAGAUCACAGACAUGGUUAUUCAAACAAAAGUGAAGCAUCCCAUGACACUUAUCCCAUGAAAAGAACUUCAGAGCCGAGCUGCUAAACUGUUUGGGAUGGAGGCUGCUCUGUUUGUACCCACUGGAACGAUGGGGAACCUGAUUUCAGUUAUGUGUCAUUGCCGGGAGAGGGGAGCAGAGCUCAUUGUUGGUGAUCAGGCACACAUCCAUCUCUUUGAACAAGGAGGCAGCGCACAGAUUGCAGGAAUUUAUUCAAGUGUUAUAAAGAAUCUUCCAGAUGGGACUUUUGAUCUGAAUGAAGUGGAAGCAAACAUACGCCGUGAUUACCCCGACCCACACAUCACCCGGACUAGUCUUAUUUGUCUGGAGAACACCCAGAAUGUGAAAGGAGGGCGAGUCCUACCACUUUCCUUUCUCCAAGAGGUACGAGACCUGGCUGACACCUAUAGUCUGCCAAUCCACAUGGAUGGAGCCCGUCUGAUGAACGCAGCCAUUGCUCUGGGUGUCCAAGCCUCUGAGAUCCUCCAGCACUGUGACUCCGUGUGCAUGUGCCUGUCCAAGGGUCUAGGAGCUCCAGUUGGCUCCAUCAUUGGUGGGCGCAAGGAUUUCAUUGAGCAGGCUCUGCGACUGCGUAAGGUGCUUGGCGGAGGCAUGAGGCAGGCGGGGGUGCUGGCUGCAGCCGGGCUCAUCUCCAUAUCAGACAUGGUGGAAAGGCUCGAGGAAGACCACAGAAACACCAGGAAAUUUGCUCAAGGUAUUAAGAUGUACGCCACACCCUUCUGUGAGGUUGAUGUCGACGCCGUGGAGACAAAUAUCCUACUGUUUACAAUCAACAACUCCAGGAUCUCGCCCGAGGAGUUCUGCAACAAGAUGGCGGAAGUGACCGAGGAGGAAGUAUCUGUGAUGGGACACGGUGUGCAAGUGCUAAUGCUCCCAAUCCAUGGACACACACUGCGUGCUGUGUGGCACCUGGAUGUUUCAGAGGAGGACACCAACCUGGCCUUGGGGAAACUGCAGUUUGUGAUCAGGAAACUGGAGCAACAGUAAACCCAACCUGCCACACUUCGUGUGCUCCGUCUAUGGGAAUGAGUGCAAUAUCUUAGUUCUAGUCAUGGAGUCUGGCACAGUGUACAACGGCAGCUGUUGCUGAGGAUUGCAGUGUAAAAUGAACAAGACUGCAAUUUCUGUGCAAAAGCUGGAUCAUAUUAAAAUGUAUACCUCCUGCCCCAUCUGUGGAAGAGUCAGCGGAUCCCACCUGGGUCUCAUCAGUCACAUCAGAACCCAUAAAGCCAGAGUGGAAGUAAGUUAUCUUCAAUCCUGAGGGAAUGCCGAGGGAGAAGUUGGCCCCAGGUAAUAAUUUAAUAACAUUAACGCUUCACAUGGGUUUAUAAUAUUACUUGAAUGCCAACCAUUACCGUGAACUAUCCAUCAAGUUUGACAUUGAGUUGUAAAAUAAUGUUGGUUUAAACAAGUUGGUACCAAAGAUAAUUAAAAAGAAAAUUUAAAAAGGACUUUCCUGUUGAAUUGUAGAAAUUGAGCUCUCACUUGCAACAGCUUUUACCCAUAUAAUGCCAUAACAUAGCAAAACAUCACAAGGUGCUUAAUAAGAUUGUUGUUAAAAACAUUGAGAUUGUGCUGCGAGAGGAGAUAUUAGGACAGUGAGAGAGAGAGGCUUUAAGGAAUGAUUUUAAAAAGGAGGAAAGAAGCAGGAAUGUUGAGGGAGGGAAUUGCUUGAGUUUAGAGUCAAGACAACUGACGGUAUGGUUGCCAGUGGUUGGGUAAUUAUGUUCAUAGAGUCAUAAAGCAUGGAAACAGGCCCUUCAGCCCAACUGGUCCAUGCUGACCAAGAUGCCCCCAUCUAAGCUAGUCCCAUUUGCCUGUGUUUGGCUCAUAACCUUUUAAACCUUUCCAAUCCAUGUACCUCUCCAAAUGUCUUUUAAAAGUUGUUAUUGUACCUGCCUCAACCACUUCCUCUGGCAGCUCAUUCCACAUAGUUACCGCACUUUGUGUAAAAUAGUUGCCCCCUCAGGUUCCUAUUAAAUCCUUCCCCUCUCACCUUAAACCUAUGCCCUCUAGUUCUUGAUUCCCCAACCCUGGGAAAAAGACUGGGUACAUUCACCCUAUCUAUGCCCCUCAUGAUUUUGUACACCUCUGUAAGGUCACCUCUCAGUCUCCGAUGCUCCAAGGAAAAAAGUCCUAGCCUGCCCAGUGUCUCCGUAUAACUCAGUCCCUCAAGUCCUGCAACAUGCUUGUAAAUCUUUUCUGUGCUCUCUCCAGUUUAAUAACAUCUUUCCUAUAGCGGGGUGACCAAAAAUGAACACAAUACUCCCAGUGCAGCCUCACCAGCAUCCUGUACAACCGCACCAUGACCUCUAAACUUUUAUACUCAAUGUCUUGACUGUUACGGACUCAGUGAAAGUCCCUUUAAGAUAGGGAGUGUGUGUGUAUGUGUGUGUGGGGCGUGCUUACGUCAAUAGAAGAUAAAGGACGUAAUGACGUUGUUGAAGAAGUCAGAAGAAGAAGGAGAGAGAGAGAGAAGGGAGAGAGACACCAGCCUGCUUGUUUUCUCUAUCGUUGGAUGAGAAACAAUAACUGUGUUUGCCACUGAAAUCCAUGUAUGGAAGUUGGAAGUAAUCCGGUGGAGUUCACUUUGUUGCUGACCUGUAGAAGGAAACAGGUAUUUGUGUGUGGACGACCACGGUUCGGAUGCUUUCGGGGUGAGGAAGUCACUACCGAGUAAACACUGAAGUGUCGUUUGGGUUCCAUCGUGGAACAUUUGGAUUUCGUAUGUACUCUCUCUAUGUUUUUCUACAUCUACAUCUUAUCUUCAGACAACGGUGGUUGUUGAAGAAGCCCUUGCUCAUGUUUCACCUUAUGGCUUGCGGAACUGAACUUUAAGAACCAUUCUGGAACUGGGAGUUUUGGACUUUGUCACACACACACACACGAAGAGUUUAGUUUUGGGGUUAACGUUCGAGGUUUAACAUUCUUGA
Pristis pectinata (smalltooth sawfish) is the source of this 3545-nucleotide RNA transcript. It is a transcript of the gene named threonine aldolase 1, with no coding region annotated. The transcript is spliced from 9 exons. The record is from RefSeq and is a predicted model, not a curated record. Lineage: Eukaryota; Metazoa; Chordata; Chondrichthyes; Rhinopristiformes; Pristidae.